AAAGAGUUAGUUAAGUUAAUAUUAGUAUGUCACACUAAAGUCAGGGGAUAUCCUCUACUCUUUG
Molecule: transfer RNA, 64 nt
Filed under: Torleya nepalica
Lineage: Eukaryota; Metazoa; Arthropoda; Insecta; Ephemeroptera; Ephemerellidae
Description: tRNA-Asp
Source: RNAcentral